GUACAAGCGCUUUCAAUACAGUGGGACCAGCCAUCUGGCCUCCAGUGCCGUCAAUGCUUCUCUGAUGUCAGAAGCAUGGCACUGAAGCGAGCUUCAUUGGCAUGUCGGUCCAGACGCGCUUGAAGUUCUCGCCUGUCUGUCUCCUCCAGCUUGGAGGUGAAGCACUAGCUGUGAACUGAAUGCAGAUGCCCUAGACGAGGACUGCUGAUCACACUUGGGGUGCCUUGGCCUUGUGGAUUGAAACAGCCAGAUUUUCUUUGCCUCCCUAUCUGCCCCUUCUCCUUAUCUGCAGUCCCCCAGCAUCUCUGGGGCAGGGACUUCUGAUCGCGGCAGGCCCAGCCUACCUUCAGCCGUCUUUCAUCUGCAAGGUCUGUUUGAACCUCCCUGGAGUGAAAGCAUAUGGUAAGACUAAAAAAGGAGAACACAAAGAGAGUUAAAAACACAAAUCUGAAUGUGAAAGUGCCAACAAGGAACCAAACACAGGCUGGCAUCUAUGGAUUCCAGACAGCUCUCCCUAUCAGAUCAAGUCAAAAAUUAAACCCUGCACAGCCUGCCAAGUCUGUGACUCCUUAGAAAACCCAAAACAGGAUUUCGUGGCUCCCUGGAAACAUUCGAUCCCACUGAACGCAGAACCUGCCGGGAUAAUCAGUGGAAUCCACUUCCGGGGGUGACCAUGAAUCAUGUUGCCAAGGAAAGUAACCAGCAGGAAUCAGAUUCAGGUUUCCGGUUAUUAUUUAGCUGGCUCCAAGAAGGGCUGUUGUAUAAUUUACUUGACCACUCCCCCCCCCCCUUUAAAAUACAGUCAGCUCAUCCAGUCAGCACAGCAGGAACCUCAGAUAAACCAGGUGAAGAAAUGGAACCUCACAACCUAGUGAGUUCAUUAUGAGGAUACUCUGAUCAACAAAUAUCCAGCUUUAUAACAUUAAACAUAUUAACAAGCUUCAGAACAAAACUGCUAAUGGUGGUCCAGGGAGGAAAGUCACUAGAGGUGGAAUUUUCAUCCAGCUUUAAGUUAAAGAAGAGGUGAGAAUUCUGAAGGCAACAGGAGUGAGAGGAGCUUCUGGCAAGAUGGCCUAAUGAGUCAAGCCUAAGCCCAGUGCCACUUCAAAGAAGGAAAGAAAAAGAAAAGAAAUCUUCACAGGAAAAACCUAGCAGGAAAAUGAACAGAAUGACUAAAUGAGCAAAACGAAAAGAGGCCCCACUAUGAAACCAUGACUAAAAUGAAACUGGGAAGCAUGUCUAAAAGGAAAAAGAAUUAAACAAACAGUAAACCUCUAGAAGACUGAGUGUACAUACCUAAAUAACCUUUAGAAUGUUUUAGAAUAACAACAAGAGAGAUAAAGGCUGAUCUACCACCUAAUUUCUUUCUUGUCCUUAAUGGAGAUUUCAAGGAUGUUAAGAACUCUGGGAUUCUGAAAGGAAAGCAAUUCAAGAGGAAUGAUGGAAAUCUAUCAAGAACAAGAUUAUAGUGAUGGAAAUAUAUAAAUUAUUUCAAUGCAGAAGAAUGUGGGAGACAGAACAGAGAGAACAAUAACUAAUUCAGAUUUUUUUAAAAAUAGUUUUUAAAAUAUGGAAGCUGGAACUGAGAAUAAAUGUUGAGAGUGCAUGAGACA
This 1613-nucleotide long non-coding RNA is filed under the name Monodelphis domestica (gray short-tailed opossum). Its description in RNAcentral is "lncRNA (ENSMODG00000041985.1)". Lineage: Eukaryota; Metazoa; Chordata; Mammalia; Didelphimorphia; Didelphidae. The record is from RNAcentral.